UAGCUACAACAUCGAAUUCGACCUGGCUAAAUAUAUAGGAAUGUUUAAGAGAUAAUACACAUCAACAAAUUGGAUGAGGCAACACUGAUAACAAUGCAAGAGAUAAGCUAUAUAAACAUUAAGCAAUCAUAAAAAGUACAUGAAACGAAC
Molecule: long non-coding RNA, 150 nt
Organism: Diorhabda carinulata
Lineage: Eukaryota; Metazoa; Arthropoda; Insecta; Coleoptera; Chrysomelidae
Exons: 3
Source: RefSeq, a predicted model, not a curated record